Molecule: transfer RNA, 66 nt
Filed under: Mesocapnia arizonensis
Lineage: Eukaryota; Metazoa; Arthropoda; Insecta; Plecoptera; Capniidae
Description: tRNA-Tyr
Rfam family: tRNA
About the family: Transfer RNA (tRNA) molecules are approximately 80 nucleotides in length.
Source: RNAcentral
GGUAGAAUGGCUGAGAUUUAGGCGAUAGAUUGUAAAUCUAUUUAGGAGGGUUCACCUCUUCUACCA